This 1475-nucleotide ribosomal RNA is filed under the name uncultured bacterium. RNAcentral's name for it is "partial 16S ribosomal RNA". It matches the Rfam family "Bacterial small subunit ribosomal RNA". The record is from RNAcentral.
AGUUUUUGAUCCUAGGCUCAGAGUGAACGCUGGGCGGCGUGCUUAAUACCUUUAAGGGGAACGAGAACGGNACNAGCUGGCNAGGANGGCAGCUAAGGGGCGGACGGGAGAGNAAGGGANAGNNAAGCNGCCCNNCAGAGGGGGAGAACNACGGGAAACGGNAGCNAANACCCCAGANACCNGCGACCGNAAGGGNAGCGGGGAAAGGGCGGGGCGCNGAAGGANGAGACNACAGGGGANCAGGGAGGNGGGGGGGAAAGAGCCCACCAAGCCAAGGACGCCNAGCNGGGCNGAGAGGANGANCAGCCACACGGGAACUGAGACACGGACCAGACUCCGACGGGAGGCAGCAGGGGGGAAAAANGCACAAGGGACGAAAGNCUGANGCAGCAACGCCGCGGGGAGGAAGACACACNGCGGAGCGGAAACUCCUUUUAUAUGGGAAGAUAAUGACGGUACCAUAUGAAUAAGCACCGGCUAACUCCGUGCCAGCAGCCGCGGUAAUACGGAGGGUGCAAGCGUUACUCGGAAUCACUGGGCGUAAAGCGCGCGCAGGCGGUCUUUUAAGUUGGAUGUGAAAGCCUACGGCUCAACCGUAGAACUGCAUCCAAAACUAUUAGACUAGAGUGUGGGAGAGGAAGAUGGAAUUAGUUGUGUAGGGGUAAAAUCCGUAGAGAUAACUAGGAAUACCAAAAGCGAAGGCAAUCUUCUGGAACACUACUGACGCUGAGGCGCGAAAGCGUGGGGAGCAAACAGGAUUAGAUACCCUGGUAGUCCACGCAGUAAACGAUGAAUGUUAGCCUCCGGUGGCCUCGUGUCUUCGGUGAUGCAGCUAACGCAUUAAACAUUCCGCCUGGGGAGAACGGUCGCAAGAUUAAAACUCAAAGGAAUAGACGGGGACCCGCACAAGUGGUGGAGCAUGUGGUUUAAUUCGAAGAUACGCGAAGAACCUUACCUAGCCUUGACAUAUUUAAGAACUCCGUAGAGAUACAGAGGUGCCUUCGGGAGCUUUCUUACAGGUGCUGCACGGCUGUCGUCAGCUCGUGUCGUGAGAUGUUGGGUUAAGUCCCGCAACGAGCGCAACCCUCGUCACUAGUUACUAACGGUUCGGCCGAGGACUCUAGUGAGACUGCCUUCGUAAGGAGGAGGAAGGUGAGGACGACGUCAAGUCAUCAUGGCCCUUACGGCUAGGGCAACACACGUGCUACAAUGGCCAGGACAAUGAGACGCAAUACCGUGAGGUGGAGCAAAUCUAUAAACCUGGUCUCAGUUCGGAUUGUAGUCUGCAACUCGACUACAUGAAGCUGGAAUCACUAGUAAUCGUAGAUCAGCUAUGCUACGGUGAAUACGUUCCCGGGUCUUGUACUCACCGCCCGUCACACCAUGGGAGUUGAUUUCACCCGAAGCGGGGAAGCUAAACUGCCUAAAGGCCACGGUGGAAUUAGCGACUGGGGUGAAGUCGUAACAAGGUAGCC